RNAcentral lists this long non-coding RNA (1435 nucleotides) under Oryctolagus cuniculus (rabbit). RNAcentral describes it as "lncRNA (ENSOCUG00000039351.1)". The record is from RNAcentral. Lineage: Eukaryota; Metazoa; Chordata; Mammalia; Lagomorpha; Leporidae.
AUGGCAUUGGUACCCAGGAUGUUGUACUUCUUGGAAGACCAUCAUCAGAAUCUCACAUUCUGCCUUGCUCUUUGGUCCAACGGUGCCGCGGAUCCGCUCGCGGAGGGAAAGGUGCUGGAUGAAGGUGAAUCCUGGGAGGACCGAAGCGUAGGGCUCUGCCCUCUGUCCGAAGUUGAACUCCACGGCACAAUUCUUCACCAGGACAUGAGGACAGAGGGCCUGACCCCCCAGGGCCCCCUUCUGGAUUUGGAAGGCAAUGCCCAUCCACUUCCCAUUCUCGGUGAAGGAAAGUUCCACAUCGUUUCCACAUUCAAAGUCCGUAAAACAGCCAAUCACAUCGUUCUCUGCAAAUUUGUCUCCGCAGUCUUCAAAUCGGCUAUUGGUGGGCUUCUUUCCAGUGCCUCCACAGCCAUAGGAGAAAGGCUCUUCUCCUAGCUGGGAGCUGCAGGAGUCCAGGGACCCGCCGAUUCGAACAACGUGGGGAUCGGGCUCUGUAGACGGAAGGGGCUUCACAGAGAUUUCCUGGUUGAUCUUCAUCUCGAAGCACACACGGCCCCUCCUGACCCCGUAGCUGGCACGGGCUCCUGACCAAAGGUAUGCAAAGCCCUCGAGUGUGAGCGGAUAGCCACUACUCCUAUCUUGGGCCACCUUGAAGUGGAGGUCUCAGUUAUAUGUAUCGAUGGCAACAAGGGUGUCAUCAAAGUCAUCUUCAUCCUCUUCGGCGGGAGGCUGAGGGGAGCGGCCCCUCCGAUCCUCUCGGUGCUCAAAGUACCCGCGGCCCCGGUUUUCUUCCUAAGGCCUCUUGUGACUCUCGAACUGCUGUCUGUCGGGCUUGAGCUGAGGAGCUUCAGGAGGGAGGAAGCUGGUGGGUCCUUCUUGUUUCAUCUCUGUCUUCCCUUCUACUGGGCAGUAGGACUGCUGCUGCGGCUCCAUGUCUAGUGCUCUCCUCUCAUAGACAGACUCAUGCUCUUGCUUGAUGACCUGGGUCUCAUAGAACUGGUUCUAUGAACUCUUUUGUUUUAAAAAUAUUUAAUUGAGAGGUAGAGUUACAGACAGAGAGAAAGAUCUUCCUCUCACUGGUUCACUUUCUGAAGGCUGCAAUGUCCGGGGCUGGGUUGAUCUGAAGCCAGGAGCCACAAGCGUCUUCUGGGUCUCCCAAGCAGAUGCAAAGAGCCCAAGUACCUGGGCCAUCUUCUACUGCUUUCCCAGGCCAUACCAGAGAGCUGCAUAAGAAAAAUAGCAGCUGGGACUCAAACUGGCGCCCAUAUGUGGUCCUGGUGCUGAGGUUUAGUCCACUACACCACAGCACUGGCCCCCUAGUAAACUCUUAAAACUUUCAGUACCUCUCAGCACUACUGUAUUGGGAAUCAAUUUUCAGCAUGAUUUUCUGAGGAGACAAACAAUAUUAAAACCAGAAGAAGGGAACAACAAAUGA